Artibeus jamaicensis (Jamaican fruit-eating bat) is the source of this 2676-nucleotide long non-coding RNA. RefSeq lists it as uncharacterized. The transcript is spliced from 3 exons. NCBI's taxonomy places the organism in Eukaryota, Metazoa, Chordata, Mammalia, Chiroptera, Phyllostomidae. The record is from RefSeq and is a predicted model, not a curated record.
AACGCGCGCAAGGGACUGGGGCACCGAGGGCUGGGGGACGGGCCGCAGGUGGAAGUCCGCCGUGCGCGCCGCCGCCAGGUGGUCCCGCUGCUUCUGCGACAGGAGGGGCCGCUGCUGCCGCGCUCCUCAGCCUGGCCGCCACUCGGACUCCAGAGUGCGGUGCGUGGAGGGGACGCCCGCCCGGCCGGAAGCGUCCGGACGUCCUGCCGAAGCGCGGCCGCGGACCAGAGAAUGUGAUUUUUCUCAAAGCGUUCCGAGUCCUCCGUUUCCGGACUCGCGCUACGUUCAAAAAACCUUCCCAGUGUACGCCGCUGCUGUUCCCAAGCCUAAGUCACGAGUUUGGGACCCGACCCCGCGCCCGGCUGGAGAGACAGACACCUGCGCCGGGGACGGAGGGCCGCCCGCAGCGCGUUUGGGGCGAGAGGGCGUCGGGCCAGCAGGUACCCUGCGGGGCCUCUCAGCCAGGUCUGCCCCCCACCCCCAGCCGAUGCCUGAAUCGGCACGUCCCUGCGCUGCGCCCCGCCCCGCCGCGCGGGCGGGCCCUUCAGUCCCUGGGGCGGGGCCACGAGGUGCUUCGCAGUGAACACGAACAUUUGGGUGUUGUUCACGGUUUUCGACCUUUUCUGGGUGUAUGGAGCCGAUAACGCAGCAGCGACCCCGGACUUACUGCGGAGGCGGGGUCCCUCCGGAGCAGGGAGGGUAGCGCUGUCUUGACCCCCUUCGUGUACUGAGACAAGAGUCCGAACUGAUCACAGAAUCGCCCUCUGACUUCUUGGAAUCAGUGUGUUAACACAGUCUUCUUGGGAGACUGACACGGUUGCUGCCGAAGUCUGUCUUGCCCCUCAGUGGGAUUCCAGCCCUGGCUUUGGAGCUGUUGGCUCCUGCUUCACAUGCCUUCAGAAAGCCACAUGUCAAACUACCUUCAUCUGAUUUCUUUAAUGACAUAGAGGAGGCUGGUGUCCCUUCAAAGGUGCCUGUCCACUGAAAACUCCAGGCGUCAUUUCCAAGCCCUUCACUUGCAUCUUCUCUGACACAAAUGCUGCAGCGGUUUUAUCGAUGCCGUGACAAGUCCAGAGCCAUCGCGCCAGUGUUUUCCAGAUGGCUGCUUCCCCAGAGUGCUUCCGGAAUCACCCGCCACACUUCAGUUCCUGUGCACAUUCAUUCGGAGGGUCCAGUUUCACAUGGGUGCGUUUCCUCACUGUGCACGAACACCCCCGACAUCAGCAUGAACAGAUGUAAUGGGCCCUGGCAGAAAUUUUAGCUGUGCCUCAGCAUAGAUUCAUUAAGCACCUAUGAAGCAUGUGCAAAGAGUUUGCUUGUUUUCUGAGAAUAUUUUUUGUUGUUUCCCAUCCACAAAUUUUAUUAGUGGGUAUUUAUCGAGAUCCAGCCAUGUGCAUGUGUUCCUGCCUCAGGGAGACCCACGUCGUAGGGAAGCACGAAGAGUGAGCUUGCAGCCCUCAAAAGCUGGCGUUCUAGCAGGUUUACACGUGCAGGGCAGCUGGGGCUGGGACUCGGUUUCCCUCUGCUCUUUCCAGAUGCCCAACUUCCCAGAUGUUCCAAGUCAGAAAUUCUUGUCAUCUGUGGGAUAACUGGCCCUGGCAAGGGUACCUGUAAGUGACGUUAUAGCAGAAAGUUUCUUAAGCAGCUUCUGCUCAACUGGCUCAUCCGGGAGCAGACACCUGCCAUUCCCGGUGUGGCUCAGACCAGCAGAGGGACGAAGGCCCGUGGCCCCCACACCUGGUCCUCCCAGCAGGCUCUAAUGGCCCGACGCGCCGAGUGCCAGCUGAGGAGGCUUUGUGUGACCAGAGGAGCUCGGUGCCACAUCCAGGACACACACAGUCGACCUCAGCUGCGUGUGCGACAUUUGCACCUUCACUUUGCAGUCGAUGUGCAUUGUUUCGGGUCAAGGAUGCUAACGGGCCGCCACGUGGCCCCCACUGGUGCAGUGGGAUCCAGGACAGUGCCCACACAAAAUUCACAAUUUCCUAGUAGCCACAUUAAAAAAAAAACCUAAAAAAAGCAGGUGGUUAAUUUCAAUACUAGAUUUCGUUUUACAUAACAUAUCCAAAAGGUGAAUUUCCAUGUAUAAUCGAUUUAUUUAUAAGUCACCUCUCAUGAGAUCUUUCACCACGUAUGUUGCACUGGGCCUUUGAAAUCUGGGGUGCGCGCCACAGCACAGAACAUCUCGAGUGUCAUUUUGGGCUGGCGGCACCUCGUGCAGUCAAUCGAAACCCGCAGCUGGUGGCUGCUGUUGGAGAUGGCCCCCCUCCCCCAGCCAUCGCCCCCCAGGUCUAUGAGGUUGGUGGACAGCUCCAAGCUGGUUAGGCCAGAUUAGUGCCUAACUAACAUGCCCAGAGCAUAGAGAACCGUAACAGACACCAAUCGGUAAACCACACCUACGACAAUCAGCCUCUCCGCUUCCGGCAGCGAACCGGACCUUCGGAUCCCGUUGUCGAGUCUCCCUCCGGACUGCAGUCCUGGUGCCGUCUCUGCUUUCCCGACUCUCCGAGUGACCCGCAGCCCAGACUCCAAGCUCCCUCUCAUUCGGCAGACGCAGAGGGCGUCAGCUCCUCCGUGGGGGGCACUCUGGAGGCUGCAGAGCCCCGCAGAGACAGAGCCAGGUGGGGCACCCAGCCCACCACCUCCCCCAGCUUCCCUCCACAAACUUCAGUCGUC